Molecule: ribosomal RNA, 448 nt
Filed under: uncultured bacterium
Lineage: Bacteria
Description: bacterial SSU rRNA
Rfam family: Bacterial small subunit ribosomal RNA
Source: RNAcentral
UCGAGAAUUUUUCACAAUGGGGGAAACCCUGAUGGAGCGACGCCGCGUGGGGGAUGACUGGCUUCGGCCCGUAAACCCCUGUCAUUUGUGAACAAACCUAUCCACCUAAUACGUGGAGAGUUGAUAGUAACGGAAGAGGAAGGGACGGCUAACUCUGUGCCAGCAGCCGCGGUAAUACAGAGGUCCCAAGCGUUGUUCGGAUUCACUGGGCGUAAAGGGUGCGUAGGUGGCCAGGUAAGUUUGAUGUGAAAUCUCGGAGCUUAACUCCGAAACUGCAUUGAAUACUAUCUGGCUGGAGGGUCGGAGGGGGGACUGGAAUUCUCGGUGUAGCAGUGAAAUGCGUAGAUAUCGAGAGGAACACCAGUGGCGAAGGCGAGUCCCUGGACGACUCCUGACACUGAGGCACGAAAGCUAGGGGAGCAAACAGGAUUAGAUACCCCCGUAGUCC